This 378-nucleotide ribosomal RNA is filed under the name uncultured eukaryote. RNAcentral's name for it is "partial 18S ribosomal RNA". It matches the Rfam family "Eukaryotic small subunit ribosomal RNA", at positions 592 to 976 of the family's 1831-position model. The record is from RNAcentral.
CAAUAGCGUAUAUUAUAGUUGUUGCAGUUAAAAAGCUCGUAGUUGGAUUUGUGGUUCGUCCCGCCGGCUGGGUCAUUGACCUUUGCUGUGCUGGUCGUCCAUCCUUGGGUGGAAUCUGUGUGGCAUUAGGUUGUCGUGCAGGGGAUGCCCAUCGUUUACUGUGAAAAAAUUAGAGUGUUCAAAGCAGGCUUAUGCCGUUGAAUAUAUUAGCAUGGAAUAAUGAUAUAGGACCUUGGUACUAUUUUGUUGGUUUGCGCACUGAGGUAAUGAUUAAUAGGGACAGUUGGGGGUAUUCGUAUUCCAUUGUAAGAGGUGAAAUUCUUGGAUUUUUGGAAGACGAACUACUGCGAAAGCAUUUACCAAGGAUGUUUUCAUUAA